CCUGGCUCAGGAUGAACGCUAGCUACAGGCUUAACACAUGCAAGUCAGGGGCAGCAUGAGAGUAGCUUGCUACUCUUGAUGGCGACCGGCGGCACGGGUGCGUAACACGUAUCCAAUCUACCCAUGGCUCGGGAAUAGCCUUUCGAAAGAAAGAUUAAUGCCCGAUGGUCUGUCUGUGAGACAUCUCGCGGGCAGUAAAGAUUUAUCGGCGAUGGAUGAGGAUGCGUCUGAUUAGGUAGUAGGCGGGGCAACGGCCCACCUAGCCGACGAUCAGUAGGGGUUCUGAGAGGAAGGUCCCCCACAUUGGAACUGAGACACGGUCCAAACUCCUACGGGAGGCAGCAGUGAGGAAUAUUGGUCAAUGGACGAGAGUCUGAACCAGCCAAGUAGCCGGUGAGGGACGACUGCCCUAUGGGUUGUAAACCUCUUUUGUUUGGGAAUAAAGUGUCCUACGUGUAGGAUUUUGUAUGUACCAUACGAAUAAGCAUCGGCUAAUUCCGUGCCAGCCGCGGC
RNAcentral lists this ribosomal RNA (513 nucleotides) under uncultured bacterium. RNAcentral describes it as "bacterial SSU rRNA". It matches the Rfam family "Bacterial small subunit ribosomal RNA", at positions 18 to 518 of the family's 1533-position model. The record is from RNAcentral.